Oryza sativa Japonica Group (Japanese rice) is the source of this 3960-nucleotide non-coding RNA. NCBI's taxonomy places the organism in Eukaryota, Viridiplantae, Streptophyta, Magnoliopsida, Poales, Poaceae. The record is from RefSeq and is a predicted model, not a curated record.
UUUUAUAAAAUUCUUUAAUAGUUUUUGUUGCCUUAAAAUUAUUUAGGAUGCUCUGAAAAUUCAAGUAAAAAUUGAUUAAACAUUUUUAAACAUGGGGAAUUUAUUAAAAAUACCCACAAGCCAAUUUGAUAUAAAUCUUGGUGAAUUUUAAUUGUUGAAGGCUCUUUUAGGCUUUUAAAAUUUCUAGAAAUGCAUUAAAGCACGAUUUAAAUUUAGGGCGAUUUCCAAGGCGUUACAAAGCUCGACUUGGAGGUCCUGUCCAAUUUCGUUGGAAUUAUCCAUAUGAGAGGUAAAACAAGAAGUAAAACAUUAACUUGUUUUUAUAGAGUUUACUAACCCUAAUGCAUUUGGUCCUGCCAUGUAGGUUUAUCCAAAAACUUAGAAAGAAAGUGUGAAAUAAAGCUCGAGUUGAGGGUUCCAUUGUUGAGGCCUACCUAGUUGAGGAAACAUCUAAUUUUCUUUCACUCUAUUUCAAUCCUAAAGUUCGGUCUGCUAGAAACAAGAUGCAUCGAUAUGAUGAUGGCAGCUCACAAUUUGAUAGUACAUACAACCUAGAAAUAUUUCAGUACCCUGGCCGGUGUAUUAGCCCACGGGGCUGCCAACAGUACAAGGCUGCUACCUUAUACAUAUUGACAAACACACCAGAAAUGGAUGAUUUCUUCAAGUACGUUUCAAAUCUACUAUGAGUCAUUCAUAUAUUUUUAUGCCAUAAUUCUAAAUAAGUUUGUUAAUGUAGUAAAUAUGAUAAGGAACAAUGGAAGAGCCGAAUUUCACCAACACCAAAUCAGUUGCGAGACUUGCGAUUAAAUGGAUGGAAAUCUGGUCGUGGCAUUAGAAAUGGGCCUAAUUUCUUUGAUUGGUUCAGAACUGAAUGCAUGAAGUCAUCUAGUAUACACAAUGCUUUGUGUCAAAUAUCUUAUGGUUUUCGAAGUACAGUUUCCACUUAUGGAGUUUAUGAUAUCAAUGGAUAUAGGUUUCGUUCAGAGAAGUAUGAGAGCAAGAAAUCAGGGUUAACAACAACCAACAGUGGGGUGUGUGUCUUGUGUUGGCGAAAACAAUGAUGUGCUAGAGUACUAUGGUAUUAUAAAAGACAUACUCAAGAUUAGUUGGGAAGGCAACAUGAACCUUGAAUUGGUUUUGUUUGACUGUUAUUGGUUUGACCCAACAUCUACCGGUGUUCGGCGUACUGACAAUUUGGGUUUAGUUGAAAUUAAGCACACGUCUAGGCUUUCAACUUUUGAACCAUUUGUGAUGGCUAGUCAAGUUACACAAGUAUAUUAUUUGCCUUACCCAUGCACUACAAGACGUGAUCUAUCAGAAUGGUGGGUUGUACAUCAUGUCAAUCCACGGGGUUAUGUCCAGAAAGUUGAGAACACAAAUAAUGAUUCCAACCCAAAUGAUGAUCAAACCCAAGAUGUAUCAUUCUAUCAAGAAGAUAGAUUGGAAGGCACUUUUAUUAUUGACCUUGGGGCUGACUUAGGAAAUAUGACUCCACCUAUUUUGGAUGAGAUAACCAAUGCAAAAUUCUUAGAAUUCCUAGAAAAGCAAACGCAGGCUGAAGAUAAUUACGAUGAAGAUGACAAUGAAGAAGAAGAAGAAGAAGAAGAAGAAGAAGAAGAAGAAGAAGAAGAAGAAGAAGAAGAAGAAGAAGAAGAAGAAAAUGAUGAAGAAGAUGAAGGGACACAGCCCCCAACUUAUGAUCCAAAUGAUUUUUAGUUUAAGCUAUUGAGAUUGAAAUAUCUAUAAAUAUCUAUUGUAUUUUGUGUCUGUUAAUUUAUUUAUGCAGCUGCCAACUUUCAUAUGACUUUUUAACCUUUAAGUACCUAAGGUCAUUUUGUACUUUAUAAAGGUUUUAUAUUAAGCACUGAUGGAUUAUUAUUUGUUUGAAUGAUUCCAUGCUAUGAAAAUAUAUGCUAUUAUUCUUCUUUUUUUAUGGACCGAUGGUGCUCUUCUAAAACUAAUAAAUGGAUAUAACAUUGCAGGAAAUGAACAGCAUUCAUCGGAAGCGGCUUGCAAGACAGCAACAAGGCAGGAACAUCUCCACAAGGAGCAAUGCUAGUGCUACUAAUGCAAAAAACAGAGUCCCAGAAAUGAUCAAUGGAGGUGGCAGUAGUAACUCCGGUGCUAACUCCUCCCAGAGACUUUGUGCUGGUAAUAGUAGCAAUACUGAUAAUGCCUCCCAAGCCACCAAUAUUUCUGGAAGUGGCAUGAGCAGUGUGCCACCAAAUAAAAGAGGGAGGAAGAAGGGCUCAAGAACUGCACUAAAAGUACCUCCGCGGGGUCGAAAGAUCGCGCUGAAACCUCGGGGUGAUGAGCAAUUUGAGUACGUAACAUACCCUCUAUUGAAAUCAGACCCCAAAUAUGGUACACAUAUGGGAAUUAUUCUUAAACGAGAAUACCCUGGCAUUAUUGAAGAGAAGGAUGAGAAUGGUUUAAUCAUCAGCAGCCGUCUAGCAACCUCAUGGUUUGAUUACUAUGAAAAGAAAGACGACUCAGGAGUCACAAAUGCAGAUAAGGUGAAGCAAGAAUUUUGGAAUGCAUUCUGUGUCAGUGAGGCGGACAAGGUAGAGGCUGACCGUGUUUUGGAAAAUUAUGCAGCGAAAUCAGUGAGGCAAAUGAUGUAUCAGCUUCGUGUCGAUUCUGUCAAGGUGUACCAUGAUAAAAUUGGGGAGCAAAUUGAUGAUGCAUUAGCACGCCCAAAGGAACUUGAAGUUGAUGAAUAUAAGGAUGGCCCCGUUGAUUGGUGCAGAGACAAUGGAUUUUCAUACCUUGCAGAUUAUUGGUGUACUGAAGAGUUCAAGGCAAAAAGAAAGAGAGGCCAACAAGCACGCCUUAAUUCUGAGGAUGUUGCCCAAAACCGAGGAGGUUCCCGGCCAUUCACAGAGACACAACAAUAUAUGGGAGUAAAAUUUGGACCUGAGAAAGCUACAACACUAAACACUUUUAGUGCAAUGAAGACUGGCUUUAAAAAUAUAGAUAAUGAUGGAAAUAUUGGACCAAUCCCAAGCCAGAAAGCACAAAAGCGUGUGACUGAUUAUUUAACAGGUCUUAGGGCUAAAUAUCCAGAUGAUUGGCAACAAAGAGACCUAGAUGAGAAUGUAUUGUACAGCACCAAUGGUGGCUUGCCACAUGGUCGCGUACAGAUAGCGAAUGGAGCUGUUAGGAAGGCUAAUAUUUUGGCUGUGGCCAAAUCAACAAAUGUUCGACCUGUCAAUUCAAUUGCUUUCCAAAAUAUGGCUCAACAAACUCAAAAUAUGGCUCGACAAAAUGAACAACUACUCCGGGAGAAUCAAUACAUGCGCAAAAAAUAGGAACGAACUGACAAGCACUUUAUGAAAAGUUGGGUGAACAAGUACCACAAGAAUUGGACUGUCCAGUAGAAGAGGAAGAUCCAUUUGCACAGAGUGAGAACAGACAAUGCAGCACUUACAGUGAGGGAUUGGGCUCAUGUUGAUUGUUGUAACAGUUGGCCUUGUAGUCACAUUCUCAAAUAAUUGAGAUGGGAACAAGUUCUUCCCAUGUAGUCUCACACAGCCAGUUGAGGACAAUGGGAACAACAACAGCAAUGGAUGUAACACCGCCUCUGGCAAUGGUGGCAAUAACAACGGCGACAACAACUGCAAUGGCAAUAAUACUAGCAGUUUGAAUGCCAAUGAUGGAAGCAACAUCGGUGGGAACAACAACUCUGGUGGUUGUAAUACUAGCACAUCUUGAAUGCCUCUCCAUGAUGCUGCCACUCACUUCACUAACAGAUCAUGCAAGAUGGGCUAAGGCUUUUGGAUAUACUGACUGUGGAGUUGUGUCAUACUAAUACUUUUGGAUAGGUUGUAUUUAUGGUUCUAGACCUCGAUAGAGUGUGGGACUCCAAAAUUAGUACUAAGUUUCUUACAUAGUCUCUUGGCCAUGCAAACUCCACAAAGUGAUACUUUUGUGUUAUGUUCAAAUAGUGAACUGGAACUA